AGAGUUUGAUUAUGGCUCAGGGUGAACGCUGGCGGCGUGCUUGACACAUGCAAGUCGAACGGUAUGUGGCAACACAUAGAGUGGCGAACGGGUGAGUAACACGUGGGAACGUACCCUCUGCAGGGGGAUAACUGACCGAAAGGACAGCUAAUACCGCAUAAGACCGAGAGGAGAAAGGUGCAACAGCAUCGGCAGAGGAGCGGCCCGCGGACCAUCAGCUAGUUGGUGGGGUAAGAGCCUACCAAGGCAACGACGGAUAGCCGGCGUGAGAGCGUGGCCGGCCACAAGGACACUGAGAUACGGGUCCUACUCCUACGGGAGGCAGCAGUGCGGAAUUUUAGAUAAUGGAGGCAACUCUGAUCUAGCGACGCCGCGUGCAGGAAGAAGGUCUUCGGAUUGUAAACUGCUGUGGUAAGGGAAAAAUGCCAUGUAGAGUGGAAAGCUACAUGGAGGGAUGGUACUUUACUAGAAAGCCCCGGCUAACUACGUGCCAGCAGCCGCGGUAAUACGGAGGGUGCAAGCGUUAAUCGGAAUUACUGGGCGUAAAGGGAGCGUAGGAGGCCUGACAUGUCACAACUGUGAAAACCCGGAACUCAACUCCCGGACUUGCAGUUGAAACUGCCAGGCUUGAGGACGGUAGAGGAAGACGGAACUGCCAGUGUAGGGGUAAAAUCCUUAGAUAUUGGCAGGAACGCCGGUGACGAAGGUGGUUUUCUGGGCCGGUUCUGACACUGAUGCUCGAAAGCCAGGGGAGCGAACGGGAUUAGAUACCCUGGUAGUC
This 781-nucleotide ribosomal RNA is filed under the name Kosmotoga sp. enrichment culture. Its description in RNAcentral is "bacterial SSU rRNA". It matches the Rfam family "Bacterial small subunit ribosomal RNA", at positions 8 to 795 of the family's 1533-position model. Lineage: Bacteria; Thermotogati; Thermotogota; Thermotogae; Kosmotogales; Kosmotogaceae. The record is from RNAcentral.